RNAcentral lists this microRNA precursor (82 nucleotides) under Ovis aries (sheep). RNAcentral's name for it is "miRNA (ENSOARG00000023566.1)". The record is from RNAcentral. Lineage: Eukaryota; Metazoa; Chordata; Mammalia; Artiodactyla; Bovidae.
UAGGAUGACCAACCAUCUGGUUUGCCUGGGACUGAGCGAUUUCCCAGGACAUGAGACUUUCAGUGCGAAAACUGGGACAAUC